UACGAAGGGGGCUAGCGUUGCUCGGAAUCACUGGGCUUAAAGCGUGUGUAGGCGGAGUGCUAAGUACCUUGUGAAAUCCCACGGCUCAACCGUGGAAUUGCUGGGUAUACUGGUUCUCUUGAGCGACCCAGGGGCGAGCGGAACAAACGGUGGAGCGGUGAAAUGCGUAGAUAUCGUUUGGAACGCCAAAGGUGAAAACAGCUCGCUGGGGGUCUGCUGACGCUGAGACACGAAAGCCAGGGGAGCGAACGGG
This 253-nucleotide ribosomal RNA is filed under the name uncultured bacterium. Its description in RNAcentral is "partial 16S ribosomal RNA". It matches the Rfam family "Bacterial small subunit ribosomal RNA", at positions 524 to 776 of the family's 1533-position model. The record is from RNAcentral.